Molecule: long non-coding RNA, 1141 nt
Filed under: Marmota monax (woodchuck)
Lineage: Eukaryota; Metazoa; Chordata; Mammalia; Rodentia; Sciuridae
Source: RNAcentral
CUUGAAUGAAAUAGAAGUUUCUUUUCUUACCAUCCUUAGCUGGCUAAGGAGAGCGACUUGAGGGCAGGAAGGGCCCCAGGAGGAGGCAGGGUUGAGGAGGCAGUGACAGAGCUGCAGGGAGCUACUGCUGGAGCCCCAGGGGCAGGGCAUAUGAAAGGAGAGAACCUGCAUGUCCCUGUCCCCAGGGAACACGCAGGAGCCCCCAGACCCUUAAGAAAACUCAGAGAAACGUCCAGUGAGUCCCGUCCCCAGACAGCCUGGGCCCUGUCAUCUUCCUGUUGCUGGGGUAACACAGGAACCACAGAAGCAAGGCUAUUAGGCCUUCAGGGCCAGUAGUCCCAUCCAGAUUAGGAGCAGGGACGCCUGGGAUGCAUGCCAUCUCAUGUCCCUGUCCCCCACCUGUGGCCAGUGGUACAAACCACAGGUUGCAUUCGGAGCCAGAUAGUUGAAGACUCAGUUGCCCCUUGUCUGUCUCUCAGGCUGGCCACCAGCCCCUCCUAUAGCCUGUGUUUUGACAGCCUUGGGUUCUCAUGGGACCCAGGGUGUGGAAGGACCCAGGGGGGAGUUGAGAGGCAUCAGCCCCGUGGCAGAUGAGCCAGAGAGCCCCAGGUGAUAGGAUCGUGAUGUCCCUGAUCUUCAGCCUUUUGUCCCCAUCAAAAUUCCCUUAGUGUGAGAAGGAUUGGCACUUAAUGAGCACCAGCUGUAUGCAGGGCAGCCUUCAGUGACCCAGACCCACCAGGCCUUAAACACUGGUUCUUAGGGGAGCUCAGAUCAGGAGAGGCGUCCCCAGGAUGUCCUCUGUGGAGGCAAGCAGAGGGGCAUUCAGAGCCUGUGGCCCUUCUCUCACCAAGGAAAGAGGGUACCUGAGAUGUCCCCAGAGCUCAGAAGGUAGGGCCCCAGUGGGGUUGGCCACAUGGGGCUUCAUCUUGUCCUCGCUCUUCCUGUCUGAUUCCGGCAAGGGUGGCUCUCAGGAGUGUGCUCAGGGUGCCUCUGGAAGAAGGGUACAGGCUGAGCUGAGGGGCCUCCCUGUAGCUAACCGUGUGGCCUCCACCCAAGGUCAAGGUCAAGCUUCCACUUCCACCUGUGCUUAACCUCCUGCCUUCAAGGCUGACCCCACGGGGACACAGGCUGAGCACUGCAG